RNAcentral lists this unclassified non-coding RNA (353 nucleotides) under soil metagenome. RNAcentral's name for it is "partial contains 5.8S ribosomal RNA, internal transcribed spacer 2, and large subunit ribosomal RNA". The stretch from base 1 to 120 matches the Rfam family "5.8S ribosomal RNA", at positions 35 to 154 of the family's 154-position model. The record is from RNAcentral.
GAUGAAGAACGCAGCGAAAUGCGAUAAGUAAUGUGAAUUGCAGAAUUCAGUGAAUCAUCGAAUCUUUGAACGCACAUUGCGCCCGCCAGUAUUCUGGCGGGCAUGCCUGUUCGAGCGUCAUUACAACCCUCAGGCCCCCGGGCCUGGCGUUGGGGAUCGGCGGAAGCCCCCUGCGGGCACAACGCCGUCCCCCAAAUACAGUGGCGGUCCCGCCGCAGCUUCCAUUGCGUAGUAGCUAACACCUCGCAACUGGAGAGCGGCGCGGCCACGCCGUAAAACACCCAACUUCUGAAUGUUGACCUCGAAUCAGGUAGGAAUACCCGCUGAACUUAAGCAUCUCAAUAAGCGGAGGA